CCUACGGGAGGCUGCAGUGGGGGAUAUUGCACAAUGGGGGAAACCCUGAUGCAGCGACGCCGCGUGUGGGAAGACGGUCCUCUGGAUUGUAAACCACUGUCCCCAGGGACGAAGAUGACGGUACCUGGGGAGGAAGCUCCGGCUAACUACGUGCCAGCAGCCGCGGUAAUACGUAGGGAGCGAGCGUUGUCGGGAAUUACUGGGUGUAAAGGGAGCGUAGGCGGGACUGCAAGUUGGGUGUCAAAUCUACCGGCUCAACCGGUAGCCGCACUCAAAACUGCAGUUCUUGAGUGAAGUAGAGGCAGGCGGAAUGCCUAGUGUAGCGGUGAAAGGCGUAGAUAUUAGGAGGAACACCAGUGGCGAAGGCGGCCUGCUGGGCUUUUACUGACGCUGAGGCUCGAAAGUGUGGGGAGCAAACAGGAUUAGAUACCCUGGUAGUC
Molecule: ribosomal RNA, 440 nt
Filed under: uncultured bacterium
Lineage: Bacteria
Description: partial 16S ribosomal RNA
Rfam family: Bacterial small subunit ribosomal RNA
Source: RNAcentral